AGGAUGAACGCUGGCGGCGUGCCUAAUACAUGCAAGUCGAACGAGUCCUUCGGGACGAGUGGCGGACGGGUGAGUAACACGUUGGUACCUGCCCCGAAGUGGGGAAUAACUGCCCGAAAGGGUGGCUAAUACCGCAUAAUACCGCAAGGUUAAAGCAGUAAUGCGCUUCGGGAGGGGCCUGCGUCCCAUUAGCUAGUUGGUAGGGUAAUGGCCUACCAAGGCGACGAUGGGUAGCUGGAUCGAGAGGUUGACCAGCCACACUGGGACUGAGAUACGGCCCAGACUCCUACGGGAGGCAGCAGUAAGGAAUCUUCCACAAUGGACGAAAGUCUGAUGGAGCAACGCCGCGUGCAGGAUGACGGUCUUCGGAUUGUAAACUGCUUUUAUAUGGGAAGAUUAUGACGGUACCAUAUGAAUAAGGACCGGCUAACUACGCGCCAGCAGCCGC
Molecule: ribosomal RNA, 448 nt
Filed under: uncultured bacterium
Lineage: Bacteria
Description: SSU rRNA
Rfam family: Bacterial small subunit ribosomal RNA
Source: RNAcentral